GACGAACGCUGGCGGCGUGCCUAAUACAUGCAAGUCGAGCGAAGUUUUUCUGGUGCUUGCACUAGAAAAACUUAGCGGCGAACGGGUGAGUAACACGUAAAGAACCUGCCUCAUAGACUGGGACAACUAUUGGAAACGAUAGCUAAUACCGGAUAACAGUAUUUCUCGCAUGGGAGAUAUUUAAAAGUUGGUUAUGCUAACACUAUGAGAUGGCUUUGCGGUGCAUUAGCUAGUUGGUGGGGUAAAGGCCCACCAAGGCGACGAUGCAUAGCCGACCUGAGAGGGUGAUCGGCCACACUGGGACUGAGACACGGCCCAGACUCCUACGGGAGGCAGCAGUAGGGAAUCUUCCGCAAUGGGCGAAAGCCUGACGGAGCAACGCCGCGUGAGUGAAGAAGGAUUUCGGUUCGUAAAGCUCUGUUGUUAGGGAAGAAUGGAUAUGUAGUAACUAUACAUGUAAGAGACGGUACCUAGCCAGAAAGCCACGGCUAACUACGUG
Molecule: ribosomal RNA, 499 nt
Filed under: uncultured bacterium
Lineage: Bacteria
Description: partial 16S ribosomal RNA
Rfam family: Bacterial small subunit ribosomal RNA
Source: RNAcentral